UGGGGAAUAUUGCGCAAUGGGGGAAACCCUGACGCAGCGACGCCGUGUGAGGGAAGAAGGCUUUCGGGUCGUAAACCUCUGUCAGGAAGGAAGAACCUCUCAAGGCUGAACAAGCCUUGGGACUGACGGUACUUCCAGAGGAAGCACCGGCUAACUCCGUGCCAGCAGCCGCGGUAAUACGGAGGGUGCAAGCGUUAAUCGGAAUCACUGGGCGUAAAGCGCGCGUAGGCCGUCUUUUAAGUCGGACGUGAAAGCCCUCGGCUCAACCGGGGAACUGCGUUCGAUACUGGGAGACUUGAGUCCUGGAGAGGGUGGCGGAAUUCCGGGUGUAGGAGUGAAAUCCGUAGAUAUCCGGAGGAACACCGGUGGCGAAGGCGGCCACCUGGGCAGGUACUGACGCUGAGGCGCGAAAGCGUGGGGAGCAAACA
RNAcentral lists this ribosomal RNA (428 nucleotides) under uncultured bacterium. RNAcentral describes it as "bacterial SSU rRNA". It matches the Rfam family "Bacterial small subunit ribosomal RNA", at positions 355 to 774 of the family's 1533-position model. The record is from RNAcentral.